RNAcentral lists this ribosomal RNA (446 nucleotides) under Phoroncidia scutula. Its description in RNAcentral is "partial 16S ribosomal RNA". The record is from RNAcentral. Lineage: Eukaryota; Metazoa; Arthropoda; Arachnida; Araneae; Theridiidae.
UUCUUAUAAAAUAUAAUUAUAAGUAUAAUCUGCUCAAUGUUGAUAUAAAUAGCUGCAAUUUAUUUGUACUAAGGUAGCAUAAUCAUUUGUUUUUUAAUUAAAAACUAGAAUGAAAGAUUAAACAUUUUAAUUUCUUUAUUAAAUCUAUCUAUUUAAUUUUUAUUAAAUAUAAAAAUAUAUUUAUAAAAAAAAAAGACGACAAGACCCUAUCGAACUUAACUUUUUGUUUAGCUGGGGCAGCUAAAUAAUUAAAAUUUUAUUAAUCAAAUUUUACUAAAAAUUAAUCCAAUAAAAUUGAUUAUUUGAAUAAGUUACCGUAGGGAUAACAGCGUUAUAUUCUUUUUAAGUUCUUAUUUAAAAGAAAUUUUACGACCUCGAUGUUGAAUAAUUAUCUUUAUAAUGCAAUAAUUAUAAAAGAAGGCCUGUUCGACCUUUAAAUCAUUACA